RNAcentral lists this ribosomal RNA (93 nucleotides) under Pseudomonas aeruginosa. Its description in RNAcentral is "partial 16S ribosomal RNA". The record is from RNAcentral. Lineage: Bacteria; Pseudomonadati; Pseudomonadota; Gammaproteobacteria; Pseudomonadales; Pseudomonadaceae.
UGAGCCAAGUUUAGGGUUUUCUCAAAACCCAAGCAGUAUUGAACUGAAGAGUUUGAUCAUGGCUCAGAUUGAACGCUGGCGGCAGGCCUAACA